GGAGAAAAGCAGGGGAUCGCAAGACCUUGCGCUUUUGGAGCGGCCGAUGUCUGAUUAGCUAGUUGGUGGGGUAAAGGCUUACCAAGGCAACGAUCAGUAGUUGGUCUGAGAGGACGACCAGCCACACUGGGACUGAGACACGGCCCAGACUCCUACGGGAGGCAGCAGUGGGGAAUUUUGGACAAUGGGCGAAAGCCUGAUCCAGCCAUGCCGCGUGAGUGAAGAAGGCCUUCGGGUUGUAAAGCUCUUUCAGUCGAGAAGAAAAAAUUGCGACUAAUAAUCGCAAUUCAUGACGGUAUCGACAGAAGAAGCACCGGCUAACUACGUGCCAGCAGCCGCGGUAAUACGUAGGGUGCAAGCGUUAAUCGGAAUUACUGGGCGUAAAGGGUGCGCAGGCGGCCUUGUAAGUCAGAUGUGAAAUCCCCGGGCUUAACCUGGGAAC
RNAcentral lists this ribosomal RNA (442 nucleotides) under uncultured ammonia-oxidizing beta proteobacterium. Its description in RNAcentral is "bacterial SSU rRNA". It matches the Rfam family "Bacterial small subunit ribosomal RNA", at positions 198 to 621 of the family's 1533-position model. Lineage: Bacteria; Pseudomonadati; Pseudomonadota; Betaproteobacteria. The record is from RNAcentral.